UGGCCCGGGGCACCCUCCGUCUGCUGCUCUGCUGCGCCUCUGCCCUGCUCGCUGCAGCACCUCCAUGGCUCCAUCUCCCUCCCUCAGCUCCCUGGCCACGGUGCAUCCAUCCCGCUCCAGGAUGACAUCAGCCAGCAGCAGCAGCACCAUAGAUGGCAGCUCUGCGCAGCCCCCUGCCCAGAUCAGCCC
Molecule: long non-coding RNA, 189 nt
Organism: Calypte anna (Anna's hummingbird)
Lineage: Eukaryota; Metazoa; Chordata; Aves; Apodiformes; Trochilidae
Exons: 3
Source: RefSeq, a predicted model, not a curated record